AGAGUUUGAUCCUAGCUCAGGAUGAACGCUGGCGGCGUGUCUAAGGCAUGCAAGUUGAGGGAUCGGCUUUUUCUUCGGAGAAAGUACGGACCGGCAAACGGGAGAGUAACACAUUGGUAACCUACCUCUAAGACGGGGAUAGCCCACCGAAAGGUGGAUUAAUACCCGAUAGACAUGGGGGGACAUUAAGUCAUUCCUAUGUAAAGAUUUAUCGCUUAGAGAGGGGCCUAUGGCUUAUCAGCUUGUUGGUGAGGUAAAAGCUCACCAAGGCUAUGACGAGUAGCGGGUGUGAGAGCACGACCCGUCUCACUGGGACUGCGACACUGCCCAGACUCCUACGGGAGGCUGCAGUCAGGAAUAUUCCGCAAUGCGCGAAAGCGUGACGGAGCGACGCCGCGUGCAGGAUUAAGGCUUUCGGGUCGUAAACUGCUUUUCUGUCUGAAGAAUUUGUGACGGUAAGACAGGAAUAAGAGGUUGCUAACUCUGUGCCAGCAGCAGCGGUAAUACAGAGACCUCAAGCGUUAUCCGGAUUCAUUGGGCGUAAAGCGUCCGCAGGUUGUUUAGUAAGUUAACGGUCAAAUUUUUGGGCUCAACCCAAAAACUGCUAUUAAUACUGCUAAACUAGAGGCUGGGAGAGGCAAGCGGAACUACCGGUGUAGUCGUAAUAAGCGUUGAUAUCGGUAGGAACACCAAAGGCGAAGGCAGCUUGCUAGAACAUGCCUGACACUCAUGGACGAAAGCGUGGGUAGCGAAUGGGAUUAGAUACCCCAGUAGUCCACGCCGUAAACGAUGUGCACUAGGUAUUGGCAGUAUCGACCCUGUCAGUGCCGUUGAAAAAAGCUAACGCGUUAAGUGCACCGCCUGGGGAGUACGGUCGCAAGACUAAAACUCAAAGGAAUAGACGGGGAUCCGCACAAGCGGUGGAUCAUGUGGUUUAAUUCGAUGGUACGCGAGGAACCUUACCUGGGCUCAACUACUAGCUGCACGGCUCCCGAAAGGGAGUCAGCCUUCGAGGGUGCUAGAUAGGUGCUGCAUGGUUGCCGUCAGCUCGUGCCGUGAGGUGUACCGUUAAGUCGGGUAACGAGCGCAACCCCCAUUCUGUGUUAAAUGUACACAGAAGACUGCCUUCGCAAGAAGGAGGAAGGUGGGGACGACGUCAAAUCAGCAUGGCUCUUACGUCCAGGGCGACACACAUGAUACAAUGGCCAGUACAAAGGGUUGCCAAACCGCGAGGUGGAGCUAAUCCCAUCAAAACUGGUCUCAGUUCGGAUUGAAGGCUGCAAUUCGCCUUCAUGAAGUUGGAAUCGCUAGUAAACGCGCAUCAGCCACGGCGCGUUGAAUACGUUCUCGGAUCUUGUACUCAAUACUAAAUGCGCCUGGCAGCGUAUAUAUCUAAGAGGUUAAAAUCCUCUCCUCUGCAAUCCCGUCGCAGAGCGUAGCCGAAAGAUAGGACUAUAUCCGUAAGGAGUAGUCUGAAGG
RNAcentral lists this ribosomal RNA (1479 nucleotides) under marine metagenome. RNAcentral describes it as "bacterial SSU rRNA". It matches the Rfam family "Bacterial small subunit ribosomal RNA". The record is from RNAcentral.